This is a long non-coding RNA of Humulus lupulus (European hop), 904 nucleotides long. RefSeq lists it as uncharacterized. Lineage: Eukaryota; Viridiplantae; Streptophyta; Magnoliopsida; Rosales; Cannabaceae. The record is from RefSeq and is a predicted model, not a curated record. The transcript is spliced from 2 exons.
UUCAAAUAAUAAAAAAGACGACAAAAUUAAUGGAUUUAAUUAAAAAUUGGGGUCAGUGUGAAAUUUAAAUAAGCUAGUUUAUCAAUCAAUUUUAAUAAAUUAAUUAAGUAAAUAAUUCAAUAGAAAAAUAAAAUGUUUCUCUCAACCCACAAGUCUUCCCCUUCCCCACAAAAAACACAAUCUCUCUCUCUCUCUCUCUCUCUUUUUCUAUGCAUGGUCUCUGCCAACCAUGAAUGGCGACAAUCUCGAUGUUGGUGACUGACACGCGCUGCACCAGAAGAAGCAUCGGCCACUGACCUAUCGACCCUCGCGAGAUCUCCCCCUCACGCGUUGCCUAGCAUCGUCAAUGAAGCCUUCGAGUUGCAGCGACUUCAUGCUUUCCAAAUGUUUCUGAGCAUUUUUUGACCACCUCAAGUCGAACCACGACCACUACUAUAUUACUUGUGACUUGGGCUUCAAAACCCACUGAAGGAUUAGACUCAAAGGUUAUCAGAGUGGGAUGUUGAAACUCACUGAAAUUCAUGGAGAUCCGAAAAUGCAUGGCUCUAAGCUGAAGCUUUGGUGAGGGUCUCAGCCAACAGUGACUUUUGGGUGUUCUGGAGUUUGUUUCGAGCUUCAAAAACCACCACAAAACUCGUAUCGAUCAUGUGAAUGUAUUUGUAAGGGAAAGGGAAAGCUGGACCAGCCGUGAGUUGAAGAGCUUUAGGGGUGGUGUGUACAUCAGCAGCUACUCGAUCGCUACAACCGAGGGAUUGACAUGGACUAGAGCCAAAUGUUAUUUUUCAACUUAGGUUGGCUUCAAUUGUAAUUAUUUUGAGGGUUGUAAUUUCCUUGUAAACAAUCCCGUGUACAAACUCUUACUUUUUAAUGAAAAAUAACUAUUUUACGAUCAAAAUAUUUUAAA